CUACGUAGCUCAGAGUUUGAUCCUGGCUCAGGACGAACGCUGGCGGCGUGCCUAACACAUGCAAGUCGAGCGGGGAUUGUGGAGAGCUUGCUCAAAACAAUUCUAGCGGCGGACGGGUGAGUAACGCGUGAGUAACCUGCCUGUUACUGGGGAAUAACGCAUCGAAAGGUGUGCUAAUACCGCAUGAGACCACAGGACCGCAUGGUCAAGGGGUCAAAGAUUUAUCGGUAACAGAUGGGCUCGCGUCUGAUUAGAUAGUUGGUGAGGUAACGGCUCACCAAGUCGACGAUCAGUAGCCGACCUGAGAGGGUGAUCGGCCACAUUGGAACUGAGAAACGGUCCAA
RNAcentral lists this ribosomal RNA (344 nucleotides) under uncultured bacterium. RNAcentral's name for it is "bacterial SSU rRNA". It matches the Rfam family "Bacterial small subunit ribosomal RNA", at positions 1 to 334 of the family's 1533-position model. The record is from RNAcentral.